GACGAACGCUGGCGGCGUGCUUAACACAUGCAAGUCGAACGGAAAGGCCCUGCUUGCCGGGUACUCGAGUGGCGAACGGGUGAGUAACACGUGGGUGGUCUGCCCUGCACUUCGGGAUAAGCCUGGGAAACUGGGUCUAAUACCGGACAGGAGCUAUUUUUAGUGUGAUGGUUGGAUAGUUUUUUCGGUGUAGGAUGAGCCCGCGGCCUAUCUGCUUGUUGGUGUGGUAAUGUCCUACCAAGGCGGCGUCGGGUAGCAGGCCUGAGAGGGUGGACGGCCACAUUGGGACUUAGAGACGGCCCAGACACGUACUGUAGGCAGCAGUGGGGAAGAUUGCACAAGGGGCGCAAGCCGGAUGCAGCGACUCCGCGUAGGGGAUGACUGCCUUCGGGUUGUAAACUCCAUUCGCUAGUGACGAAGCUUUUUGUGACGGUACCUAGAUAAGAAGCACCGGCUAACUACGUG
RNAcentral lists this ribosomal RNA (465 nucleotides) under uncultured bacterium. RNAcentral's name for it is "partial 16S ribosomal RNA". It matches the Rfam family "Bacterial small subunit ribosomal RNA", at positions 28 to 507 of the family's 1533-position model. The record is from RNAcentral.